This 470-nucleotide long non-coding RNA is filed under the name Homo sapiens (human). RNAcentral's name for it is "non-protein coding lnc-PECR-2:1". The record is from RNAcentral. Lineage: Eukaryota; Metazoa; Chordata; Mammalia; Primates; Hominidae.
AUGGCUACUGGACAGGAUUGUGUGGUUACUCUCAUGGACAUAGACUUUGUUCCAAUGGAGCAGCGGCAAAAUCCUCAUUUGAGGAAUAAAUCUUGUGCAGCUGUGUAGUACAAAUCAUGGAAGGUGGUAGAAUAAUUGCAGUGAGUUAUGAAGCUCUUGCAUUUGGGGUCACUAUAUGUAGGCAGAUGAUGCAAAGAAGUUAAGUCCAGGUCUUCUACUGGCACAAGUUCGUGAGUACCAUGGGAAAGCUAACCUCACCAAGUACCGGGAAGCCAGUGUUGAAGUGAUGGAGGAAGUCUUGUUUUGCUGUGAUUGAAUGCGUCAGCAUCGAUGAGGCUUAUGUAGAUCUGACCAGUGCUGUACGAUAGAGACUACAAAAGCUACAAGGUCAGCCUAUCUCAGCAGACUUGUUGCCAAGCACUUAAAUUGAAGGGUUGCCCAAAGACCCCACAACAGCAGAAGAGACUGUU